CAUCCCCUCCCACACCCCCAAUUCCACCUCCUUUGCCCUCCUCCUGCCGAGGGUUUCCGAAUGUCUUCGGGGCCUUUCCGAAGCCGCCGAAGCCGCUCGGCCCUCUCCGCUUGGACCCCGACUGUGCUCCGAACACUGUCGAGAUCCUCCGAGCCCCGCUCCCAGGUCAGGCCGAGCGGAGCCGAACACCGCCGAGCCAAGCUCAGCCCCAUCGACUUUUCCAGCCUCGGCUGGGCGCUGUCCACCACUUACAACGCCUGAAACCUCACCCUGGCUCAGGAGGCCGAGGCUUCUACCGGACUCCCGGCCUGCCACAGUGGAUUACAGACUUGUGAAGUUUCGAAACCUGCCCCUAAGGAGAAAGAGGUGGCGCGGUUUGCAUUUCCCGACACGCGAGGGCUCCAGGCAGAUGCAACAUGCACCUUGUUGCAAAGAGCAAUUCCCCAGGCCCCGCCUCCCCAUCCAUUUGGACUGCACAAGCCCCAGAGAAACCCCAGGCCAAAUUACUGGUGGCUCAGAAGGGUGAGGCUAGCCGAAGGGGCCUGUGAGAAGAAAGCCCCCGGGAGCUCUCGAACGCAAAUAAGAACAUGCCAAGCAGAUGGGAGAAACUGUCUCCUAGUCGCUGCUCCCUACCAUCAUGGCGCCGCCUGGAACUCGCUUGUCAUGCCUGUUACACAUGCAAGAAUUUUUGCUUCUUGGUUUUGAAACCACAAGCACGAUUUGUCUCCCACCCACCUUCCCUCGAAAGGGGCUUUUAUUUUCCAUUGUUUUCCUACGGGAUGCAAUUACUUCGGCUAUUCUGUCAAGUUGAAAAAUAAUCAUUUUUGUUUACAGCACAGCAACCUCUAAUUAGGAGCUGUGUGUGCACGAAGGUGUCACAGCAAAGCGACAUGGAAUCCUCGCUAAACGGUCCUAACGAACUCCUCCGUCCCGAACUGACAGGCCAACGGAAACAGGGCCAGGAGGCCCGGAAGGCACGCACCCGUUCCCUGCCGGCCACCCCUCCCCAGGCAGAGCUGCCUGGAGGCUCACCGGGAACCGUGGAGUGGAUGGGGCAAGAAGCAAGCCAGAGAGGAGGAAGGACGGGCGAGGCUCCUAAGUGGGGAAAUGUGGAAAGGAAGGAAUAUCCCAUUUUGUUUUAAUUUUCAACCAUCACUCAAAUCCACCCCCAGUUAAUUAGGAGGGGAAACUGAUAUCUAAGGCAGAAAGGGGGCGGUGGCAAGUAGGGCCUGAAAUCCGCAUUGAAGGUAGAAUACAGAGUGUAAAUACAACGAUAAAGGCUACACAGUGACUGGAACCUGCGGGUGUCAGAAGAGCAAAGGCUGGAGGGCCAGGGAGGAGAGGGGCUGGAGGGCAGAUGAAACUGGCUUUUAGCCCCACAGACCCUCCCACCUCUGCCUUGGAUAAGGCUGUGUCUGUCACAUCCGCUUGGAAACCCAUCCUUUCUCCCCAGUGCACGCCCCCUCCCCUAACCCUUGCUCGCUUUGGGGGGGGGGGUCGUCUAAGCCACAGCCACCAGGAAUUCAGCACCAAACUCGUGAACAGCAAACACUUGAUCCUCCACCCCAAUCUGCUAGGGCUGGGUCCCCUCCAUGUUUUAGUCAAGUUCAAAAUCACUGCCUCAAGAGAAGCAGGGGGAAGUGGGAUUCGAGGGGUGGGGUGGAGGAGGAGGGGAAAGAAGAUGAGGCAGAGACAGAAAUGGAGGCAGUGAAACACGAAAUACUCCACGAGCAAGAGUUAUGAUCAUAAGCACGCCAAUAGUGUGAUGUUCUGAUCAAUAUGGCGGACACUGUCAUUCAUACAACUAGAGGCGCUCUCAUUCCCUCCCCGCAAACACCGACCCCAGGAGUUGGGGUGGGGGACCCAGAACCAACGUAGGGAGUGGGGGAGGGGAGGCAACCUCGGGUUUCUUCUGUGUGUGCGCGAAUUAAAAACCAGGCCUGGAGAGCAAAUAUGGGUGAGCAAGAUAAUAAAAACGAUAUAAAUUAUUCUUAAUAAAAGUACAAAUCCCAAUGACACAGGGACUUACUUCAUCUGCUUCACAAUGGUGCUUUUUCCUGAUUCUCCAGCCCCUGUUGGGACACACAGAGGGGGGGAAACUGAUCGAAAACAGAGAUCUCAGGUGCCCAAUAUUCUAUAGACCUUGCUUCCUGCAGAGGUUGCUGGGGACAGUUGCCUAGAUCUACUGUGAACCAGAUUCAGAAAAAAAUUUCACUGCCAUUUGUACAAGACUGCAUUUGAUGGACCGAAGUGCCAACCUGAGAUCAGGAUUACAGAGAUCCAGAGUACGGAGAGCAGGAAUACUGACAUCCAUAAUACGGAGAUCUAGAGUACAGAGAUCCAGAGUACAGAGAGCAGGAAGACGGAGAUCCAGAAUACAGAGUGAAGGAGGGCAGAGUUCCAGAAUACAGAGUGCAAGAGGAUGGAGAUCUAGAAUACAGAGUGCAGGAGGACAGAGUUCCAGAAUACAGAGUGCAGCAGGACGGAGAUCUAGAAUACAGAGUGCAGGAGGACAGAGUUCCAGAAUACAGAGUGCAACAGGACGGAGAUCCAGAAUACAGAGUGCAGGAGGACAGAGUUCCAGAAUACAGAGUGCAACAGGACGGAGAUCCAGAAUACAGAGUGCAGGAGGACGGAGAUUCAGAAUACAGAGUGCAGGAGGACAGAGUUCCAGAAUACAGAGUGCAGGAGGACAGAGUUCCAGAAUACAGAGUGCAGGAGGACAGAGUUCCAGAAUACAGAGAAUGGAAACACCGAGAUCCAGAGUACAGAGAGCAGAAGUACAGAGAACCAGAGUACAGAGAUCUGGAGUAGGGAGAUCUAGAGUACAGAGAGCAGGAGUACUGAGAUCCAGAAUACAGAGAACGAGAGUGAUGAAAUCCGGAGUACCGAGAGUGGGAGUCCUGAGAGCAGGAGUACAGAGAGUGGGAGUCCUGAGAGCAGAACUACAGCGAGUGGGAGUACAGAGAUCCGGAGUACAGAGAUCCGGAGUACAGAGAGCAGGAGCACCGAGGUCUGGAGUACAGAGAGCAGGAGCACCGAGGUCCGGAGUACAGAGAACAGGAGCACCGAGGUCUGGAGUACAGAGAGCAGGAGCACCGAGGUCCGGAGUACAGAGAGCAGGAGCACCGAGGUCCGGAGUACAGAGAGCAGGAGCAUCGAGG
Molecule: long non-coding RNA, 3164 nt
Filed under: Mus musculus (house mouse)
Lineage: Eukaryota; Metazoa; Chordata; Mammalia; Rodentia; Muridae
Description: RIKEN cDNA 4930488L21 gene
Source: RNAcentral